GUGGAUGCUAGUUUCUAAGAUUAAGCCAUGCAUGUUUAUGAAGCGAAUAUAUUGCGGAUUGAUAGACGGCUCAGUAAUACUGCGAUGAUUUGAUUGAUUGUGUGUUGUAACUACGGGAAACUGUAGGUAGGGCAUGAUAGUGUAUUUUAGUUUAGUUUAUUGUACAUGUGUUGAGUAAGUUGCAGGCCUAUCAACUGGUAGUUAGGGUAAUGGCCUAACUAGGUAUUGACGGGAGACGGGGGAUUAGGGUUUGAUUCCGGAGAGGGAGCCUGAGAGAUGGCUACUACGUCCAAGGAUGGCAGCAGGCGCGAAACUUGCCUAAUCUUUUGUAGUAGGAGGCAGUGAUGAGACGUGAGAUGAUUGUGGUGCAUUGUAAAGAGAUGUGCUGAUAUUGGAGGGCAAGUCGGGUGCCAGCAGCCGCGG
This 423-nucleotide ribosomal RNA is filed under the name uncultured Microsporidia. RNAcentral's name for it is "SSU rRNA". It matches the Rfam family "Microsporidia small subunit ribosomal RNA", at positions 23 to 405 of the family's 1311-position model. Lineage: Eukaryota; Fungi; Microsporidia. The record is from RNAcentral.